This 735-nucleotide ribosomal RNA is filed under the name uncultured Atopobium sp. RNAcentral describes it as "bacterial SSU rRNA". It matches the Rfam family "Bacterial small subunit ribosomal RNA", at positions 28 to 776 of the family's 1533-position model. The record is from RNAcentral. Lineage: Bacteria; Bacillati; Actinomycetota; Coriobacteriia; Coriobacteriales; Atopobiaceae.
GAUGAACGCUGGCGGCGCGCCUAACACAUGCAAGUCGAACGAUUAAAGCACCUUCGGGUGUGUAUAAAGUGGCGAACGGCUGAGUAACACGUGGGCAACCUGCCCCUUUCAUUGGGAUAGCCACGGGAAACCGUGGAUAAUACCGAAUACUUCGAGACUUCCGCAUGGAAGACUCGAGAAAGCUCCGGCGGAGAGGGAUGGGCCCGCGGCCUGUUAGCUUGUUGGUGGGGUAACGGCCUACCAAGGCAAUGAUGGGUAGCUGGGUUGAGAGACCGACCAGCCAGAUUGGGACUGAGACACGGCCCAGACCCCUACGGGAGGCAGCAGUGGGGAAUCUUGCACAAUGGGCGAAAGCCUGAUGCAGCGACGCCGCGUGCGGGAUGAAGGCCUUCGGGUUGUAAACCGCUUUCAGCAGGGACGAGGCGAAAGUGACGGUACCUGCAGAAGAAGCCCCGGCUAACUACGUGCCAGCAGCCGCGGUAAUACGUAGGGGGCAAGCGUUAUCCGGAUUCAUUGGGCGUAAAGCGCUCGUAGGCGGUCUGUUAGGUCGGGAGUUAAAUCCGGGGGCUCAACCCCCGCUCGCUCUCGAUACCGGCAGACUUGAGUUUGGUAGGGGAAGGUGGAAUUCCUAGUGUAGCGGUGGAAUGCGCAGAUAUUAGGAAGAACACCAGUGGCGAAGGCGGCCUUCUGGGCCAUAACUGACGCUGAGGAGCGAAAGCUAGGGGAGCAAACAGG